This is a small nucleolar RNA of Camellia sinensis, 87 nucleotides long. RefSeq annotates it as small nucleolar RNA SNORD34. Lineage: Eukaryota; Viridiplantae; Streptophyta; Magnoliopsida; Ericales; Theaceae. The record is from RefSeq and is a predicted model, not a curated record.
UGAGGCCUAUGAUGAUUUAAAGAUUUGCCUACAUUGUCCGAUUUGCAUAUCAUGAUGGAGGGAUCUGAAAACUGUACUGAGGCCACA